Molecule: ribosomal RNA, 274 nt
Filed under: uncultured bacterium
Lineage: Bacteria
Description: partial 16S ribosomal RNA
Rfam family: Bacterial small subunit ribosomal RNA
Source: RNAcentral
AUACGGAAGGUCCUAGCGUUGUUCGGAAUUACUGGGCGUAAAGCGCAUGUAGGCGGAACAGAAAGUUAGAAGUGAAAUCCCUGGGCUCAACCUAGGAAUUGCUUUUAAAACUUCUGUUCUGGAAUUCAGGAGAGGAAAAUGGAAUUUCCAGUGUAGAGGUGAAAUUCGUAGAUAUUGGAAGGAACACCAGUGGCGAAGGCGAUUUUCUGGACUGAUAUUGACGCUGAGAUGCGAAGGCAUGGGUAGCAAACGGGAUUAGAUACCCCAGUAGUCC